AAUUCCAAAACAGAGGUCCCUAUGUAGUUUGGAGGAACAUAGGAGUUUCUGAACCUACAUAGCAGCAAGAGUUUAUUGUGCUUCAGGUUAGUCCACCGACAAUUUUGAUGGCCUUGUUGGUCAGGCUAUGCAUAUUGAGGACAAAUGUGAUCUGGCUUAUUAAUGUGAUCAUGCAAUCAACUGCAUUUUGGAGCUUAGUAUCGAUUUGUUGGUGCUAGUAAGUACAUAGCUUGUCUUAGAUUUGGUUUCUUGUGUAAUGCUUAGAUGGGAUUAUCUUUGUAUUUAACCAGUAUGAUAAGAAUGGCAGACACCUUGUUUCUUGAACAGGCCAUUCAUCCGGCUGCUUAAAUCAGUGUGCGAGGGAUCUAGAUGAUGUGGCAAUCAUGUGCUAAAGUAGGCGAUGAGAUCACUAUGCAAUGUUCGUUGUAGGGUCUUAGAUUCAGUUCAAUGGACAGUUGAACCAUCCCACCUUUACUUUGUUGAAGACUCUGAGUGAGUGAGUGACUGCUCCUCUCGUCAGCUGGUAGAAAAUGUUUUUCGUUGAUUGAGAAUUAACCAAUAAGGAGAUAAAUUUGGUUUACUAGAUUAAAAGUUCUCAUAUUUUAUCCCAUGUUUUAGUGUCAUCUGCAUGCUGACUUUGAUGGUUGCUUAAAAUAGUUGUUUGUAAUUGCUCUUGCCCUUUUUAUGGCAUGCAACAUUUUCAUUAUCAUCUUGCAUUAUCUCUACUUGCAACAUGGCCAACUGCUUGAAGAAACCCUGAAUAUUAAAUCUUGAAACUAUGCUGGUGGUCUGAACUGAAAUUGCUCUUUCUUAUCAACAUUUGUUUCUAAGUAUAUAGUCACUAGUGUAAAGGUAGUGCAUGUUCAUACAGUGAGGGAAUGGUGGCUCUAGUCUAGAUUUCAAUAUGGCUUACACGCACAUGAACUGCUUCCCAGCUGAGGUUCUUCAGUAUGCUCUAUGCAGCAUACCUUGACAUUUUUACAAAGAGAUUGUUUCCGCGCCUAAAACAGUCUUGUUAGGCUAAAACAACCUAAAAUACUCUUAAUAAGGUGUGAUAUUGUUCACUUUGGGCAAAGCUUCAUAAUUUUCCCUAAAAGGCUUCACACCAUUAAGAGUAUUCAACUCCUUAUAAGUAGCUUAUUUUUCUUUUCUAAUUUUCAUGUGGGACUUCGUUCACACACCCAACAAUAAGCUAGUAGUCUUGUCAUAGCAAUAGCAUCUCCAAGUUCUUUGAAUGUGAGAGCUGUGGCCGCGGCAUGCACUUCUCUUAGACAUUCCAACUUGCCCAAAUCAUCAGGCAAUUCUUUCAGUUUUGAGCAACCGUCGAGGAUCAGGAUUUCAAGUGAUUUUAAAUCACAGAUUCUAUCUGGAAGUUUCCAUAUGUUACAACAAGAUGUCAAAUUGAGACUACAAAGUCUCUCCAAAUCUCCAAUUGUUGAGUCUAACCCCAUCAAAUUUAGACAACCACUAAAGGAUAAUUCCUCAAGAAGAUGUAAACCAGCAAACUUGGGAGAUAUCUUGAGGUUCUCACAAUAGCUGAAUAUCAAUUUCUUUAAACACUUGAAAUACUGUAUCCAAAAAAAAAAUGAACAAAAAAGAAUGGACAUAAGUUUUUUUGUUUUGUUUUUAAGCUUCCAAAGAAUAAUAAAUUUUGAAAUUAUGUCAGAAGUAAUGUCAAACCUUCAAAGGUGCUCGGAAUUCUUCGAAAUUACUAUAAGCCAUGUCGAGAAGAACAAUACUCUCCAGAUAAAAAUCAGAUGGUAUGUAUUUCAUUGGACAAUAGUGCCAAAACAAACAUUUUAAUGACUUCGGUAGAUAAUGAAAACUUCC
Molecule: long non-coding RNA, 1830 nt
Filed under: Nicotiana tabacum (common tobacco)
Lineage: Eukaryota; Viridiplantae; Streptophyta; Magnoliopsida; Solanales; Solanaceae
Description: long non-coding RNA (NTAB_LNC001880)
Source: RNAcentral